RNAcentral lists this ribosomal RNA (463 nucleotides) under uncultured bacterium. RNAcentral describes it as "partial 16S ribosomal RNA". It matches the Rfam family "Bacterial small subunit ribosomal RNA", at positions 28 to 507 of the family's 1533-position model. The record is from RNAcentral.
GACGAACGCUGGCGGCGUGCUUAACACAUGCAAGUCGAACGGAAAGGCCUUUUCGGAGGUACUCGAGUGGCGCACGGGUGAGUAACACGUGGGUGAUCUGCCCUGCACUCUGGGAUAAGCCUGGGAAACUGGGUCUAAUACCGGAUAGGACCGCACUUUAGUGUGUGUGGUGGAAAGUUUUUUCGGUGUAGGAUGAGCCCGCGGCCUAUCAGCUUGUUGGUGGGGUAAUGGCCUACCAAGGCGGCGACGGGUAGCCGGACUGAGAGGUUGGUCGGCCACAUUGGGACUGAGAUACGGCCCAGACUCCGACGGGAGGCAGCAGUGGGGAAUAUUGCACAAUGGGCGCAAGCCUGAUGCAGCGACGCCGCGUGGGGGAUGACGGCCUUCGGGUUGUAAACUCCUUUCGCCAGGGACGAAGCGUUUUGUGACGGUACCUGGAGAAGAAGCACCGGCUAACUACGUG